AGUGAACGCUGGCGGUAGGCCUAACACAUGCAAGUCGAACGGCAGCACAGGAGAGCUUGCUCUCUGGGUGGCGAGUGGCGGACGGGUGAGGAAUACAUCGGAAUCUACUCUGUCGUGGGGGAUAACGUAGGGAAACUUACGCUAAUACCGCAUACGACCUACGAGUGAAAGCAGGGGACCUUCGGGCCUUGCGCGAUUGAAUGAGCCGAUGUCGGAUUAGCUAGUUGGCGGGGUAAAGGCCCACCAAGGCGACGAUCCGUAGCUGAUCUGAGAGGAUGAUCAGCCACACUGGAACUGAGACACGGUCCAGACUCCUGCGGGAGGCAGCAGUGGGGAAUAUUGGACAAUGGGCGCAAGCCUGAUCCAGCCAUACCGCGUGGGUGAAGAAGGCCUUCGGGUUGUAAAGCCCUUUUGUUGGGAAAGAAAUCCAGCUGGCUAAUACCCGGUUGGGAUGACGGUACCCAAAGAAUAAGCACCGGCUAACUUCGUGCCAGCCGCCGCCGUAA
RNAcentral lists this ribosomal RNA (506 nucleotides) under uncultured bacterium. RNAcentral's name for it is "partial 16S ribosomal RNA". It matches the Rfam family "Bacterial small subunit ribosomal RNA", at positions 29 to 523 of the family's 1533-position model. The record is from RNAcentral.